UUUAAUAUGGCAGAAUAGUGCAAUGGACUUAAGCCCCAUACAUAAAAAUAAAACUUUUAUUAAAA
This 65-nucleotide transfer RNA is filed under the name Andrena hunanensis. Its description in RNAcentral is "tRNA-Leu". RNAcentral also lists the same sequence under 1 other name. The record is from RNAcentral. Lineage: Eukaryota; Metazoa; Arthropoda; Insecta; Hymenoptera; Andrenidae.